AGGGCACCACCAGGAGUGGAGCCUGCGGCUUAAUUUGACUCAACACGGGAAAACUCACCCGGCCCGGACACUGAAAGGAUUGACAGAUUGAGAGCUCUUUCUUGAUUCAGUGGGUGGUGGUGCAUGGCCGUUCUUAGUUGGUGGAGCGAUUUGUCUGGUUAAUACCGAUAACGAACGAGACUCUAGCCUACUAAAUAGAUCGCCGGCUUACCCACGCCGGCGAGACUUCUUAGAGGGACAGGUGGCGUUUCAGCCACACGAAACAGAGCAAUAACAGGUCUGUGAUGCCCUUAGAUGUCCGGGGCCGCACGCGCGCUACACUGAAGUGAUCAGCGUGCUUAUUAAGCCUACUCUGCCAAGAGUGGGAAACCCAAUGAAUCUUCUUCGUGAUUGGGAUAGGAGAUUGUAAUUAUUCUCCUUGAACGAGGAAUUCCCAGUAAGCGCGAGCCAUAAGCUUGCGUCGAUUACGUCCCUGCCCUUUGUACACACCGCCCGUCGCUACUACCGAUCGAGUGAUUU
This 519-nucleotide ribosomal RNA is filed under the name uncultured eukaryote. Its description in RNAcentral is "SSU rRNA". It matches the Rfam family "Eukaryotic small subunit ribosomal RNA", at positions 1161 to 1699 of the family's 1831-position model. The record is from RNAcentral.